UUAGAAGCUGGGGGAGGUAUGGCCAAGAGCACAAACUUACUUCUGUGUGGGCUUUCUUGCUUGGUCUUUGUCAUGAGGACACAAGAUUCUUCAGGCUAUGAUCCAUGUGCAGCCCAUCCCUGCCAUGCUUCUGCUUCCUGUGUCUUCAAGAAACAAAAAUACUACUGUCAUUGCUUAGAAGGGUAUGUCUCAACCACAGGAGAAAAAACUUUCACAGACCGGAACGUCAAAUGCACAGGUGAUUCUGGGCUUGUAG
This is a long non-coding RNA of Zalophus californianus (California sea lion), 256 nucleotides long. The record is from Ensembl. Lineage: Eukaryota; Metazoa; Chordata; Mammalia; Carnivora; Otariidae.